AACGAACGCUGGCGGCGUGGAUAAGACAUGCAAGUCGAACGCUAAUUGCGAAGUAGCAAUAUUUCGUAGUUGGAGUGGCGCAAGGGUGCGUAACACGUGGGUAAUUUGCCGUGAAGCUCGGAAUAACUCGCUGAAAGGCGAGCUAAUACCGAAUGUGAUUAUUGGGAGGCAUCUCCUGAUACUUAAAGCUGGGGACCGUAAGGCCUGGCACUUCACGAUAAGCCCGCGGCCUAUCAGCUAGUUGGUGAGGUAACGGCUCACCAAGGCUAAGACGGGUAGCUGGUCUGAGAGGACGACCAGUCACACUGGAACUGAGACACGGUCCAGACACCUACGGGUGGCAGCAGUCGAGAAUUUUUCUCAAUGGGCGAAAGCCUGAAGGAGCGACGCCGCGUGGGGGAUGAAUGGCUUCGGCCCGUAAACCCCUGUCAUUUGCGAACAAACCUUAUCAUUUAAAAGAUGAUGAGCUGAUUGUAGCGAAAGAGGAAGGGACGGCUAACUCUGUG
RNAcentral lists this ribosomal RNA (506 nucleotides) under uncultured organism. RNAcentral's name for it is "bacterial SSU rRNA". It matches the Rfam family "Bacterial small subunit ribosomal RNA", at positions 29 to 507 of the family's 1533-position model. The record is from RNAcentral.